GUCCUUUUCGUGUGUUGUUAUCCUUAGAUCGCUUCCAUUAAGGGUAUACGUUGCUUGUGUAUUCUUUACGCCGAAGUGCAUAACUUUGCAUUUUUCAACAUUAAAUUUCAUCUGCCAUUUGACAUUGUAGUCUUUAAAGGGAUACCACUCACCAGAAGAGCAACAGCUUAAUGCAAUUGUUCUGGUGAGUAUAGCCAGUCCCUGCAGGCAUGUUAAUGUAAACCCUGCC
This is a non-coding RNA of Pelobates cultripes (western spadefoot toad), 229 nucleotides long. NCBI's taxonomy places the organism in Eukaryota, Metazoa, Chordata, Amphibia, Anura, Pelobatidae. The record is from the annotation of a GenBank genome assembly.